GUUUGGGUAGUUUAAUUGAGAAUAGUAAUUUGUGGAAUUGUAGGUGUUAUUUAUAAACCCCAAA
RNAcentral lists this transfer RNA (64 nucleotides) under Rhodnius prolixus. RNAcentral's name for it is "tRNA-His". The record is from RNAcentral. Lineage: Eukaryota; Metazoa; Arthropoda; Insecta; Hemiptera; Reduviidae.